CACGUAGGGAGCGAGCGUUGUCCGGAAUCAUUGGGCGUAAAGAGCAUGUAGGUGGAUCAAUUAGUCUGCUGUGAAAGUCAAAGGCUCAACCUUUGAAAGCCGGUGGAUACUGUUGAUCUAGAGUACGGAAGAGGCGAGUGGAAUUCCUGGUGUAGCGGUGGAAUGCGCAGAUAUCAGGAGGAACACCAAUAGCGAAGGCAGCUCGCUGGGACGUUACUGACACUGAGAUGCGAAAGCGUGGGGAGCAAACAGG
RNAcentral lists this ribosomal RNA (253 nucleotides) under uncultured bacterium. RNAcentral describes it as "partial 16S ribosomal RNA". It matches the Rfam family "Bacterial small subunit ribosomal RNA", at positions 524 to 776 of the family's 1533-position model. The record is from RNAcentral.